AGAGUUUGAUCAUGGCUCAGGACGAACGCUGGCGGCGUGCUUAACACAUGCAAGUCGAACGGUGAACCAGAGCUUGCUCUGGGGAUCAGUGGCGAACGGGUGAGUAACACGUGGGCAACCUGCCCCAGACUCUGGGAUAACCUCGGGAAACCGAUGCUAAUACCGGAUACGACCACUUCGGACAUCCGACGGUGGUGGAAAGUUUUCGGUCUGGGAUGGGCCCGCGGCCUAUCAGCUAGUUGGUGGGGUAAUGGCCUACCAAGGCGACGACGGGUAGCCGGCCUGAGAGGGCGACCGGCCACACUGGAACUGAGACACGGUCCAGACUCCUACGGGAGGCAGCAGUGGGGAAUAUUGCACAAUGGGCGAAAGCCUGAUGCAGCGACGCCGCGUGAGGGACGACGGCCUUCGGGUUGUAAACCUCUUUCAGCAGGGACGAAGCGAAAGUGACUGUACCUGCAGAAGAAGCACCGGCUAACUACGUG
RNAcentral lists this ribosomal RNA (485 nucleotides) under uncultured bacterium. RNAcentral describes it as "bacterial SSU rRNA". It matches the Rfam family "Bacterial small subunit ribosomal RNA", at positions 8 to 507 of the family's 1533-position model. The record is from RNAcentral.